AAACUUGCAAUUUCCACAGGAAAGAUUAUAAUAAUCAUGCUGCGCAAGCAGGGAUGAUUCUGAAUCCGUUGUGGAAUAGUCGUUUUGGACUGGGGGGCGGUACCCCACAGCUCCACCAAUCUUUAGAUGGAUGAUAUCCGUCAAAACUUGGAAAGAAAAUGAUUGUGGUUCGGGUUAUGCGACGAUUUUGGCGAUGUGAGGUGUACAUGGAAACGACAAAAACAAGCAGAAACCAACCAGAAUUAUUUUAAUGGGGCUGACAUAGAUUCGACAGGCGAUAAAAGACAAAUUGGGUGAAUUCGACGUGGUGUCGUUAAAAGCCGUUAAAAAACUG
Molecule: transfer-messenger RNA, 334 nt
Filed under: Rickettsiales bacterium
Lineage: Bacteria; Pseudomonadati; Pseudomonadota; Alphaproteobacteria; Rickettsiales
Description: partial transfer-messenger RNA
Rfam family: Alphaproteobacteria transfer-messenger RNA
About the family: Bacterial tmRNA, also known as 10Sa RNA or SsrA, is named for its dual tRNA and mRNA-like properties. Its role is to liberate the mRNA from a stalled ribosome.
Source: RNAcentral